Long non-coding RNA from Phascolarctos cinereus (koala), 805 nucleotides. RefSeq lists it as uncharacterized. Lineage: Eukaryota; Metazoa; Chordata; Mammalia; Diprotodontia; Phascolarctidae. The record is from RefSeq and is a predicted model, not a curated record.
CAUGUUUGUACCCCACCCAGUGUGCCUCAGCCCAGCUGGCUUUCCGCCCCUUCCCCUGGUCAUCAUCCCCUUCACACUCACUAAGUGGCCACAGGGUGGAGCUAGUUUAGGGGACUAUCCCUCUCCCUUCCGAUAGGGAUUUAAUCCACCCCCAGGGGAGGGAAAACAAGGAAGGCAAAGAGGUGACGAGAGCUCCCAGCCCCAUCACCCCCGGAGACAAAUGGGACCGAGAAAAAUGGUCAUCCAUCCUUUCCUUGAAGACUUCCAAUGGUGUAUGCAGGAUGGAGAUUAAGAGAACAAAGGGAGCUGGACACAAUUUUGAUUUCAUCUGUAUCAAGAAGCCUAAAUAAAGGAGGCUUAAGAAGUGUCUUCAUUCCUGUGAUGAAUAAUGGGGACUCUCUCUUCUCCUUAUCCUUAAGGUUUACAGAAUGCUUUUGUCACAAUAGCCCAGUGAGGCAGGCCAUGAGAGUGUCAAUUUCCUCAUAAUGGUCAUUCAAGUAUUUGCACCCCUAUUUAACAAAUGAAAAAACAAUACUCAGAGAGGUUAGUAACUCCCCCAAAUUCACACAGCUUACGUCUCCAGUUUCCAGGUGUGUCAUGGUCUCUACCUCCUUCCUGAAGCUUUUCCCUCAUUCUAUCAGAUCAGUCAUGACUUUCUCUUCCCAGUAACAACAGCACUUUUUUUUGUGAUAACUCUCCAAUAUACUUAUGCAACUCAAUAUCUGCCUUGGUUUCUUAUCAUCCUUCUAAACUGUAAGCUCUAUGAAGCAUCAUAGGAUAAUAAUAGCCAACACUGACAUGUUGC